CUGGUAGAGACUAGAGGGUUCUUGCUUACGAAUACGUUGACAUUGGGCUGUAUGGAGGUGUUCUUUGUAGUUUUCUUAGAUGGGUAAGAGGCCCUUCAAAAAUCAAGUUUUGAAUUUCAUGUUGGGGAUUUCAAAAGUUUGUGGAGCAAACACCAGGUGGGAAAUGGCCGGAGAGUUUUGAUGCAGGGAUAUCUCCUGUUUUGUGAUAUUUUUGUUCUGUAGAUGCAUAACAGAAAAUGGAAAGUCAGAAGGGCAGAUUAGCAGAAAGCUGGACUUCUGGUGUCAUAUCAAUAAUACUUUAAAUUAUAAUGUUGAAGAUGGUUGCAGAAGGAGAUAAUAGAUCACACACAAAGAAAUGGAUGGUUGUAGAGUUAGUGUGGUAAUUACGAAAAAAUAAUUUUCCCCUGGAGGUAACAAUUCUUGUGACUGAUGGAUUGAGUCUGUAUCUUUACUGACUGAUGGAUCCCUUGUUUCUAGAUUGUUUAUGGAAGCAAAGAGGUAACAAUUCUUUGUUGCUUGCUAAGUUAUUUUCUUGAGGAAUAGUUUGAGUUUCAUUCACUCUGGUGGUAUAAUAUUGAGAGAUAAGAUUCUCAUUUUCCGAGUAGAUGUAAAAGUAUUUUGGGAGAAAACGACCAGAAUGUUUUUACAGUGAAU
RNAcentral lists this long non-coding RNA (654 nucleotides) under Prunus dulcis (almond). RNAcentral's name for it is "sRNA ncRNA". Lineage: Eukaryota; Viridiplantae; Streptophyta; Magnoliopsida; Rosales; Rosaceae. The record is from RNAcentral.